GGAAGUAAGGUCAUUGGAUGUGUCCUUUUUUGUUUUCUGUCACUGUGAUAGGUCACUCUGACCCGGGGCGACUUGAAGCAGAAAGGGCUUGUUUAGUCUACAGCAUGUGGUCCACUGUGGAGGGAAGUCAGAGCGGGCACUGAAGCAGAGAGCAGGGAGGGACACUGUUUACCGGCUCACGGCUCACUCCCACUGGCUUGUUACUCUGACUCGCUUACCUAAUUCAGGACUACCCGCUCAGGGGCGAAUCUGCCCACCAAGGCCUGAGACACCUCCCUCUCCCAUCUCCAUCAGUUAGCAAUCAGGAAAAUGCCCCACAAGACAUACCCACAGGUUAAUCUGAUGGAAACAGUUCCUCCACAGAGAUUUCCUUUUCCCAGGUAUGUGACAUUGGCAACCAGGAUUAGCUGUCCUAGGUGUGUCCUUGUAGGGGGGAUGCUGGGAUCCUGCCCCAUCUCUCCCACCCCCACUCAUGAUUCCAGCCGCUAUGAAGUUAGUGGCUUUCUUUCUUACCCACGUACUCUUGCCCACACGGCCCAAAAGCCAUGGGACAAAUCGACGGCUCACCGAAGCCUCCAAAAUCAUGAGCCAAAAAUGUACCUUGCUUGAUAUAAAGUGAUUUUUCUCAGGUCACUGCAAUAGAAAUCUGAGUGGCCCAACAAACUGCCACCAACUUAGUGGCUUUAAGGAACCCAGACUUACUGUCUUGUCAUGAAUGCGAGGGGGUCUGAGACGGCCCCACUAGGCAGCAUUCCUUUCUGGAAACUCCAGACUUUUUUUUUUUUUUUUUUUUUUUUGGCCUUUUUCAGCUCCCAAAAUCUGCCUGAAUUCUUUGGCUCCCAGCCUCCACCAUCAAAAAAAAAAAAAAAAAAAAAAAACAAAAACAAAAAACAAAAAACAAAAAAACAACAACAAAAAAAAAAAAACCCGGUUAGAACUGGCUGAAUCCUUUUCACAGUAUCUCUCUGGUUCUGAUUCUUUUCUCUUUCUUCCCAAUUACAAAGACACUUGUGAUUGAAUUGGGCUUGAAUAGCCCAAGAUAACCUCUUAGCUUAAGGCCUUAAUCCCUCCUUGCCACAUACACAUAUCCUGACGUUAGGAUGUGGACGUCUUCAAGGACUCUCAACCUAACACACAAGCAUGUGCUGCGUGCGGGCACACACACAGAGGAAAUGUAUCAAGAUGUUGACAAAUGAGUUAAUAAAUGAAGGACACAGAUUAAGAACUUGAUUUUUUUUUCCCCCUCGAGAUGAAAAGUCUCAUUUGGAAAAAGGAAACGUCUCCCAAUGAUGGAUGUUUCAAGCAAGCACAAAUAUACACUCCAUUAUCCGAAAUUCAGAAGCUCUUAAAUGGAACUUUUUAAUGUGACAGGCUAACCUUUUCCAACUGUAAGACAUCAUAGAAGGUCCCCGUAAAGAAGUGCCCUUCCCCCAUUCUUUAUAACCCCACACCACUGGGAACUUUACUUCGUCAUGGAGACGACACACUUCACUGCAGGAUUGCCCCCAGCCUUUCACUUGGUCCACACUGCUUCCCCUGCUCAUGUUCUGGGAGGGUCCUCGGUCAGGCACCCACCAGGAGAUCGUUUAGUCAACCUGCUCAGGAGACAGAUACUGCGGAGAGUCCUGGAGAUGGAGGACCCAGGCUUCUGGUCCCUAGAAACUAAAUGGUGAGUGAAUAUUCUAUUGUUUAAUAUCUGAGUGAAGUCUGGGAGUCAUUUGUUAUAUGGUGACAGAAUAGAAAAAUAUUUUCUCCUGUCCUAGAUGACUAUGGUCAGGAAUUUGUUUACCAUUCCCUUGGCUUUCAUUUAUCACAUUGACCGGCACUUGCUUGCCUAAAUACUUGGUUACAUUCUUCGGUUUGAUCCUUCAGCCCUGGCUUACUUCUCUGUUUACCAUUCUCAUUUACUUUUCUUAUUCAAAAUUGGGUUCCUGGACCAAGUCAGGCUGCUCUUGGAGUUCAUUCAUUUUCCCUCAUGUGAAUUUCUCCAUUCUCCUGUUCUUGGACAGAGAGAGUGUUUUCAGCGUUUUGCUAUGGCAACCAGGCUGCUAUGAACAUUCUUGUGUGACUCCUGGAACAUCUGAGCUAUGUUUUCUCUAGGGUCUGUGUCUAGGAGCAAACCGGCCAGCUUAUAUGUUAUUAGCAUUAACUGUAGAACGCAUAUUUUUUCCAGUGUUGAUACAGUCUCACUUUAGGCAACUCUAGCACCUAAGAAUUUCCUUGUCCCUCAUCCAUUUGAUAUCGUCUGAUUUAUUACUUUUUGUGUUUUUGAAAGAUUUAACAAUUCAUUGCAGUUUAACUUGCUGUUUCCUAAUAGCUAAGAUGAACCCCUCCAAUGCACACAUUUAUUGUGGUAUAUUAGGUUUUAUUCUCCUGUAAAAUGCCCACUUAACGACCUUUGUCCAGAUUUUUAUUGGAGUGCCUUUAAGGGACUGACUCAUAGAAGUUUUUAUGUAUUCCUAUUCUAUCCCUUGACAGUUGUAUACAUGGCAAAUAUUUCCAGGCUUUGGAUUAGAUUUUCCUUUUUGUGAAGUAUUUUGAGGAAAAGACGUUCUAAAAUUUAAUGUAAACUAAUUUACCAGUCAUUUCCUGUCUGGCAUACACUUUAAUAUUGAGCACAGAGAAACCUUUUCCUCCACUAGUUUACAGGCACUUUUCUCCUAUGGUUUCUUACAGUUGUAAAAGGUUAGCCUGUCUCAUUUAAGUCUAACCCACCUGAAAGGGACUCUCGGGCAUGAGGCGUGCACCAAUUGGAGAUGAAUAUCCUAUCUUUCCAUGUGGAUAACCACAGAGCCGGUACCACUUUGUUGGAUGGUCCAUCCAAUUUUAUGCUAUUUCUGACCCCAUGAAACUUAUUUUGUUUUCUUCUCCUUUUCUCUGUCAAGUGUUUUGUUAUGUAGUCCAGGUUGGCUUCGUUCUCUGAAUCUGCUGCCCAGGCCUUCCAAGCUGUGCAACUGCAGGCGUUCACCACCACACCCAUCUUCCAGUCAAGAUUCUGCUUUAAGCAAGUGAGUCUGCUCUUGGCUCUGUUUUCAACUCCAUUGUUUUCCCUAUGUCCCUGUAUCCAAGCCAUACGGUCUUUAAUUAUCCCAAACUUUGCAACUACAAUGUCACCCUCUCCUCACCUCUGGACAAACAUCCAAGCUGUUUAGGCCUUUUGUUCUAUUUUGGAUCUUGGGUUUUUAUGCCUGCACAAUCGUAUGCGUACUUUUAUGCCUGAAGGCAUGUGCAGGUCAGAGGUCAACCUCAGGAGUUCUUCCUCAAGAGACCUACACCCUUUUGAGACAGGGUCUCUCACCAAGACCCAGGGCUUGGUGACUAGGCUAGGCUAGCUAGCCAGUGAAGCUCAGGGAUCCAUCUCCCUAGUGCUGGACAAAUAUUUUAAAACCAAGGAAAAUUUCCCCUUUCUGUCUCUAAUUUGCUAAGUAAUGGUGAACAAACACCAGGUAAACUUCUGGUGUGGUAAAUUUACACUAAUAUUUAUUUAACAAUAAAUGAACCUGGGAUUCUUGGGAUUAAUCCAAUUUUGUCAUGACUUACUAUCUUUUUUACAAAACACCAUGAAUAGAGCUGGUGAGAUGGCUUAGUGCUUAAGUGUGCCUCCGCUGUCACAGAGGUCCAAAUUUUGGUUCCCAGCAACCAUGUCAAACAGUACACAACCACCUCUAACUCCAGGUCCAGGAGGUCCGACUCUCUCCUCUGACUUCUGCAAGGUGCUGCAUACAUGGACACACAUGAGUAACAAAUACUUUUUUUUUUAUGUCAUGAGUUUGAGGCAUGGCAGAUCAGAUUUGUAGUCCUAGCAUUCAGGAGACAGAAGCAGAUGGCUCUAAGUUUAAGGCCAGCCUGGUUUACAUAAAUAGUUCCAGGCCAGACUGAGUUCUAGAGAUCCUGCCUCAAAAGAAACCAAAAGAGACCUUUCAAGAGCCAGGAGUAACUUCAGUUGCUACAAGUCCGUGAGACCGGUUGUGUAGCUUUUCUGACCACUGUCAUCGUAAGGAAGAACCGAUCAGAAAGAAGAGUAUGCAGAGCAUGGUCUGUUUGCUCCCCUCUGGGGAAAUGUGUACGUCUGCAGUGAUCUGGUCCUUUGUGGCUCUUGAACAGAUGGCUGAUACUCGUACAUGCAGGCAGGAAUUGAUAGUUUUGGCGAUCCUUAUAAUUUGCAAUCUUAUUAACAUUUCCAUGAAUUAAGAUGAGUUGCAUUUUGUUCAACUUUUUCCUUUUGUUACAGAAAUCCAAAAUCUGGUGAUCGAAGCAGGUUUUACUUUUCUUGUACAUCAGAGGUGGGUUGUCUGGAGGGAUGUGGUGGCUCCACUCUGCUCCUGGCACCCAGAUUCCCUUCUUUCCAUUCUGUCCCAUAGCAUAUGCUUCUGACUGCUUUGUCACUGACUGGUUGGCUUCAAGCACAAUGGUCACACUCUAGGCAAGAUGAAAUAAAGGGUACAAGAUGUGGGCAGAGUUGAGACAGGCACGCUGGUCGAAAGUGUACAGAGACCAGCACACCGAGUCUAUACCAUGCAUUUGAAAAGUGCAAAUGCAUGGCUUUAGCUCCUACCAAGCUCUCAACUGCUCUAGCCAAGGCUUCAGUGAUUAGUGGCUGAAAAGCAAAAAUGAAAACCAGAGAGAUGAGAAAGAGCAUGAUAAAACUCGGCUUCUAAUACUAAACACCUAACCAAGAUGUCUGGUAUGUCCAGGCCAGAGGUGUGACUGAGAAGGAACAGGGCUCUAGAUAGGGUCAUCUAGGUACGAUGCCUCUGGAAAACUUAAAUUCCUACCCUAGUGCUCAAAAUAGGUAUAGAAGCAAAGUAAUCUACUUCACAGAGAUGGAGGCAUCCAUCCCUGGGUCAACAGUAUGGCUCUGUUAGGCUGUCAUGUCAGGUCUGAGCUAGCUACUGCUGCCACCUAGUGGCUGUCUUCCUUUAAUGGAGGCUGAAAUAUAAGUGCUAAGCAUUGGGACCAUUCUUUGAAGCCAGGAAACCAUUGAGAAGCUGGCUGGCUGUAUGUAUGCAUGCAUGCACGCACGCACACAUUAUACAUACAUAUAUACACACAUGUACAUAUACACAUACAUACAUAUGUAUAUAUACAUAUCCACAUACACACAUGAACUAGAUUUGAACUUCAUGUGUUUCAGUCUUUAUGUCUGCCUCACGAGCACCAUUUGUCAACUAAGAAUGUGGUCAAACUGGGGUCACUUCAAAGGGGAAACAAAAAUGUGAGAAUUGGACCUAUGACCACAGGCCUCUUGUAUCAUGCAAUGUACCACACCCUAGGGACUUUGCAAUGUUCUGAUGGCGGUCCAUCUGAGGCACACAAGUAACACUCAAAAGUAGCAUAUACACACUAAAGAUGAAAGAUGUGUCUGUCUGGUGACACAAGGCCUAAGGGGUUGAGUCACUCGGGGACUUGAAACUUUUUGGGCUCUGCAAAUUUAGAGGCCCAGGUCUCCAAAGACAGAAACAUUUCUUCAAACCGAAGUGCCUAUUUAAAUUAUUGUAAGAUGUAUUUGCCACAAUGGUUCUUUACGUCUAGAAGCAAGAAGAGCCACCUGUUUAGCCGAUGGAAUUGACUGUCAUCUUUCAGUGAAAAGUUGGAACUUGGUUCCUAAGAACAGGAUGGGAUAUGAUGGUAUCUCAAAGAUCCACUUGUGGUUCUAGGCCACUUCCAGUGGUAACUGGACAGGUACAAGAGACCCAUGUCCUAAAAAUGAUAUAGUAACCAGAUACCUGUCCUUUCAAAGAUGGAGGUUUGGGUUUCACUAAGUGUAGCCACUGAAAGCUAUAUUAAGAACUAAGGGGAAUCUAGAAUGUGGCCGAGGUCACCCGCAGUGUUUGGGGCUGGGACUCAUUCCAGCAGCUGUCCUGAUUCUUCUGAGGAAGAGCCACACACUGGAGCCCGGAGCUGCUUCUGAAAUGAAGGAAGCGGUAGCUGUUGAGCAGUCUGUGAUGAGCAGAGAUGCACAGUGCUGACUCAUUUCAGACUUUCAAAUUUUCUCUGAGCAGUUCGAGCUCUUGCUUGCUGCCCUUCAGGCAUUUGCCCUUACCGGAUGCCCAUCUGCUUCUGGUCACGGUGGAGUCUCUUUUUACAUUUCAUCUGUUUAAAAGAUGUAGCUGUUGAUGAUACAGAUGUUUCUAGUUUUCUACUCAAUUGACAGCUUUAUCACUUUAUUUCCUUUCUUCUAUUUAGGGAUUAAUUUGAUCUUUUCCUAGUUUCAGGUAGAAGCUUAAGCAUUGAUUUCGUGUUCCCCCCUUAGUGUAAUGGUUCGAGUUGUUCUCUAUGGGCAUAUUCUUUUCUUUGAAACAUUUUACAUUACUUCAAAAUUGUUUGACACAUCUCAUUAUUUACUCUUUGAUACAUGUGUUAGUUAGAAGUAUGCUGUUUCAGUGUACUGGUGAGGCUAUUCCAGGUAUCUUCCCAUACUCCUUUCUAAAGUUUGGUUUUUUUUUUUUUUUUUUUUUUUGGACCGAAUCCAGGGCCUUGCGCUUCCUAGGUAAGCGCUCUACCACUGAGCUAAAUCCCCAGCCCUCUUUCUAAAGUUUUUAAAACGUUUAUUCUAACUUCCUGUCACCCAACACAUGGUGUACCUUGAAUAUACCAUAUUCACUGUCCAGAGUGUUCUAUAAAUGCCAACUAGAUCAAGUCAGCUUGUGUCAAGAUGGUGUUGAUGUAUUCAACCUUUAGAUUUCAUGUAGAUGUUUUUAUUCUUUUUUUUUUUUUUUCCGGAGCUGGGGACCGAACCCAGGGUCUUGCGCUUGCUAGGCAAGCGCUCUACCACUGAGCUAAAUCCCCAACCCCCCUGUUUUUAUUCUUUUUAGGUAAGUUUUUAUGUGUAUGUAUGUUUCCUUAUAUGUAUGUGUGUACAAAUCCCACUCAGGUGGUCAGACUUGGCAGCAAGCUCCUCCACCCGCUUAGCCAUCUUGCCUGCCUACCAGCAUUUUUAUCUACAUCCCCUACUAUGAAUGGACUCACCUGGUUAUCCUAUAAGUCCUUUGGUUUAAAAAACAUUAACUUUCUUAAAAUCUAUUAUUAGAACAGAAAGUUAAUGUAAAAUGUUACUACCUAGACAGAGUACGUCAAUUUAAUAAUCUAACCAGACUCAUAUUAUUCAAUGUUGUAUGGAUUAGAUUUGAUAGAUGAAAAGCCCUGGACCCAAACAUCAAUAGAUUUGUAAGACCGCACAAUAGAUGCAAGUUAUGAUGGAGUUACAUAUCUGACCUUCUCAUACCCACAGAUAUUAUCAGGUUUAACAGGCCCAAAGUUUUCUGUAUGAAUAAAUGAGCAAGUGUGUAAGUCAGAAAGCGAUGCAGUCUGUUCUGCACACAGCAUGCCAGGGCAAUGAUUCUAUCUCCACCAUUACCAAUAUUAAGAUACAUAUUUAAAAAAACACACAUUUUCAAAAGCAUAUUUUAAUUUUUUAAAAUUUUAAUUCAAGUACAAGUCAGCUAGUUAACAUAAACAGAACAUAAAUGCACAUAAUUUGCAGCCAUGUACAAAAGUGCAACAAGAGCAACACUCGCAUGGCCCGGCAAAGCUCGUUAGCUCUCAGGCUGCCUAGACUGACUCAUUGGUGUAAUGUACUUCACAUCCACUGGGGUACAUUCAGAAAGCUUUGCAUGACUCAUCACAACUAGUCCUUUAGUUUCUAAACAGAUAGCAUAAGAAUCCAGGUAUAAUUAUGGAGAAACAAGGUUAUAGGGGAGAAGAUAUGUGAGGGGCAGAAAGCACUCUUUAUUUCAUAUGGUAAGAUUCUGUCCUAUUUACGCGGACGUAUGGAUCUUAGGAAUGUUGAAAGUCAUGGUAAAGGAGGAUCACGGGCUGUGUAUCAGCCCUCAGGAGUCCCUACUGUAAGGGCAGUUUGGACAGGAGAGCCUGUGAACUGCGAAGUAGGAAGAAAGUCCUCAGAGAUAGGGGGAGACCAAUUUCUACCACUUACAUUCUUCAAAUGAAAUCAUUAUUUCACGGUGAUUUUUAAAAGCCAAAAAUUUUUAGACUUUAGUAAAUGAACAGUUAUUCUUCUGAACACCACAGAUGUGCUUAUCCUAACAAGGCUACUGCAAGGAGACAUCCAGGUUUAUGUGACAAAAAGGUCAGGCUGUGUUGUGUGACCUAACAGUGCUGUCAUGGUAUCAGAAUUACAAGCCUGCUUGAACCGCUUUAAUCAAUCAAGUUGGUUCUACAUAGUUGUACAGUGAGAACCGGAACAGAGUUUGUGAGCAUGGAGAGGCAGGCCUGUAACACCAGCACUUAGGAGGCAAAGGCAGAGAACCAGGAGACAAGGUCUUCUUAGGUAACAAGAGCCCCUAUCACCACAAAAACAAAACAAAAUUUGAAGAAAAAGGCAAACCAAUGCCAGGACAGAGGUCUCGGGGAGGCCGCUCCCUGGUAACUUAAAAGCACUGUAUGGUACCUACUAAAGCUUGCGAUUGAUUCCCCAGCUGGAGUGGUGUCCGAGUUCAAGCACUUGAGCACAGCAGUCUGCUGCUGUGAGGGCUGCUUCUAGAAGCUACUACUCCAGCCCGGCUGAGGAAGUUCAAUUUUCUGAGAAGAAAGACUGCAACAAAAGUAUACAGCAAGGUCCACCCGAGCUCUUUACAUUUAAAAAAAGAUUAUAUGAUUAAAACAAGUUUUUUUUAAAAAAAACAAUGCUCUGAGUAUGUAUUUUUUUAAAAAAAAUUACAAUUAAAAUCUUC
Non-coding RNA from Rattus norvegicus (Norway rat), 8690 nucleotides. Lineage: Eukaryota; Metazoa; Chordata; Mammalia; Rodentia; Muridae. The record is from RefSeq and is a predicted model, not a curated record.